UCACAGUCCAAUAGCAUUCAAAGGGAUGAUCUAAGCCUGCCGUGGCUGCCAAAGCAGUCUGGAUGCAAAUGUGUAUGCUGCCCAGAGGUCAAAGGCUCUCCUUGUCCUGACCGGCUGAUUCUGACUCGACUGGGACUGUGUGACACACACUCUGCUGAGGGCAUGGUGCCCGCUCUUAGGAGUCUCAUGGUCUGCACAAUAGUGACAGGCUGCUCUCUGUAUCCCUGGUUCUGCAUCUGCAGACUCACCAACUGUCCCUCAAAAGCAGUCAGAAAAGUGGUGUUGUCAGCUCUGUGGCCAAUGCUGGAAUCGGAGAUUAAAAGUUGGUCGUUGUUCCUGUCAAAGCAGGAGAAUGAGAUACCCAGACACAUGCUCCACCUGGUGCAAGGCUGUGGGCAGCAUGGGGCAGGUAGAACCGCUGUCUGAGGCCAGGAAGGCCUCCCCAGAGAAGCUGCAGCUGCAUAGUUUGGUUAAUGCAGCACGCCUCAGAAUUCCACACAGACAGCAGCUUCAAGCGUAUCUCUUCUAGUGAUUGCUGCAUGUGUGCCACCCACAGCUUGUCACACUGCACCAGUGCUGCAUUUUACCAGUUUGUGUGACAUGGAAACUUCAUCUCUCUUCAUGCUUUCUACCCUUGAAUAUUUAUAAUGGAGUCAUUGCUUCAAUUCUUCUACAUACAAUAAAACCACUUUUAACUUC
Molecule: long non-coding RNA, 699 nt
Organism: Peromyscus maniculatus bairdii (prairie deer mouse)
Lineage: Eukaryota; Metazoa; Chordata; Mammalia; Rodentia; Cricetidae
Source: RefSeq, a predicted model, not a curated record